GACUUUGUGGUGGCGCGGCGCAGUGGUGGUGGUACCCGGCGUGCGGGUCCGGCGCGGCCGCCUGCGCGCUGCUGGCGCUGCGGGCCGCGCGCCCGCGUCGCGGCGCGUCGCUACACAUCGCAGGUGUGAAUAUAACCAGCUCCCCGCGAGUGGUCACGAGCAGACAAGUGUCCCCGUCACGAGUCAUACUCGCACGCCUCUUCAAUAGAUCCGCUUCGUUCCAGCUCACUGAUUCUCAGGAAACUAAGUUUGAAGUGUGGAGAGAGAAACGUCCGCCGCCCCCCUUGCCACCUAUCGACUUUGACUAAGUUCUGCUGUGACUAUUGGUUGGAUGAAAACAUAAAGAAAAUAUUUAUGAAUUAAUAUUAUUAUAGAUAUAUAUUAUGUAGAGUACCUAAAUGUAAACGUUCAAGAUGAAAUUAAUAUAAUAAAAAGCUAGAAAAAAAAAUAUAUGGCCGGACUCAAAUCCUGUUGAACCGCUAAUGUUAUGAGCCGUGCCCACCCCAGUAACAGGCGCGGAACUCUUAACAUAGGACACGCACAACGGCCCAAAUGAGAGGCUAAGCGCGGAAAACAGAGUCUUUCUCACAUUCACAACAUAGGACACAUUCAUGUUAUAGAGUACAUAUAUUGUCUUGUUCAAGGGGCCAGGCCCUGCCCUGGAAUACAUUAGUGUAUUUAAGAUUAUUUUGCAGGGCGGGCAUGGUUCCUUAAAGGCGUAUAUGUAUUCUAAGACAUGUAUUUGUGAAGCUUCACUCGGAUCCUGGGGUGGGCAUAAGACAAUUUAGAGAGGGGAACGACCUACCCGACCCCCUCUUAAAUACGUGUAUACUGGAAAAUAAGUAUGACAAUGGUAAUUCUUAUAUUUUGUACCGAAGGCACUUCACAUAAUUUAUUUAUUUAUUUAUAGCAAGGCAACAGAUUACAAAUUAAUACAUUAAUAAAAUAAAUAUUACAUAAAACAGCAUUAAAUUUGCACUCCAACAACUGCUCCGCACAACAUUCGAUAUUAUAUACAUUAAAAGAAUGACGGCUAUAGAUUUAAAGUAACAAAUUGGCAGCCUUAAUGUAACGUUGCAAGGAUUGUUGGUAAAUAUCAAGGUAUCUUGCAUAUACCUAUUGUUAUAAUGACCUGCGUUUACAGUCUUGUAUUUGAUUGUGGAGAAAUCUCGUUCCUUUCAAUAUCUUAGGUUAUCCACUUAUUGAAUUAUGUACCGGUAUACUCUCGUGAUGGCGUCUACCCGCGUAGUUGUCGUUGUGUGUUAACACGUUUGUUGUAAGUGUAUUUGUGUGCGUGUUUACUUUUAGAUAUAGUAUUUACGUAAGGAGGCACCUUAUGUAGUUCUUUAUUUGCUAAGUGUUAUAUACUGUGCGAUGUAAUAAAUGUAUGUAUUUAUUGUAGCCCAAGUUUUUAAUUUCUAUGCAAAAAUCCUCUGCAUGGGCACCUCUGUCCAGCUCGUGUUUUAAAAGGGAAGUGUUACAACUGCAUCGCAUACUUAGUUUUAAAAAAACAUUAACCUAUGACGCUUUCAUGUCUUAGACUUAAAUAUACAUAUUCUCAUGUGAAAUUGCAUGUUAUUAAAGGUAACACGUUUGUGUAGGGUGGGAGGGGGGAAUAGAUUUUUAGUAAUGGGGGGUACUGCUCUAUUGCUAGCAAUAUACUCUAUUAGGUAAAUCUCCACGCGGUUUCCCCUGGAAACCCACAGACUUAGUAUAACAUUGGAAACCAUUGUGGUUAAUUAUUGUUGAUUUCAUCACGAUGGGCCAAUUGGCCUGCUCCGGGGGGAAAGGGAUUGUUAGCAAUGGAGACUGAGAAUCCCUGCUAGCAAUAUACCUAACCAGGUCGACCUCCUCACGGUUCCCCCUGGAAAC
Molecule: long non-coding RNA, 1872 nt
Organism: Galleria mellonella (greater wax moth)
Lineage: Eukaryota; Metazoa; Arthropoda; Insecta; Lepidoptera; Pyralidae
Exons: 3
Source: RefSeq, a predicted model, not a curated record